Molecule: RNase P RNA, 388 nt
Filed under: Pontibacter ummariensis
Lineage: Bacteria; Pseudomonadati; Bacteroidota; Cytophagia; Cytophagales; Hymenobacteraceae
Description: Bacterial RNase P class A
Rfam family: Bacterial RNase P class A
About the family: Ribonuclease P (RNase P) is a ubiquitous endoribonuclease, found in archaea, bacteria and eukarya as well as chloroplasts and mitochondria.
Source: Rfam by way of RNAcentral
ACAGCAAGCCGUCUUAUCGCUGCUCCCACCUGGGAGGAGAGGAAAGUCCGGGCAACGCAGAGCAUCCUACUUCCUAACGGGAAGGGUCCCGGGCAACCGGGAUACAGCCAGUGCCACAGAAAAUUACCGCCUCUUGCAAAAGAGGUAAGGGUGAAAAGGUGCGGUAAGAGCGCACCAGCGGCUGGGUGACCAGUCCGGCUGGGUAAACCUUAGGAGUUGAAAGACCAAAUAGGCUGGCAGCGCCUCGCUUCGGCGGGGCUAAGGGCUGCUCGUCCGAUGUCAGUGGGUAGGUCGAUGGAGCCUGCGCGCGAGUGCAGGCCUAGAUAAAUGAUAAGACGCACGCCUUCGGGUGUAGCGACAGAACCCGGCUUACAGGCUUGCUGUUAAU